Molecule: non-coding RNA, 45 nt
Organism: Schistosoma margrebowiei
Lineage: Eukaryota; Metazoa; Platyhelminthes; Trematoda; Strigeidida; Schistosomatidae
Source: Rfam
AUCCAGCUGACGAGUGUCAAAUAGGACGAAACGCGCGUCAGGAAU